Molecule: long non-coding RNA, 996 nt
Organism: Oncorhynchus kisutch (coho salmon)
Lineage: Eukaryota; Metazoa; Chordata; Actinopteri; Salmoniformes; Salmonidae
Exons: 3
Source: RefSeq, a predicted model, not a curated record
UCAUCCAACUCAAAUGCUGUGUUUCCAUUUGUAAAUUCUUCCAUUAUUACCUGUUUAGACAAAAUGGAUCUGUAGCACUUGCGCAGUAACCUGCAUGUCUGUAAAAAGCCGCUUGCUGGGCUAGAAAGAGAAGGGAAGCCUCUGCUAACCAAAGAUAACGAAUUAGCUAGAUAAAUAAAAGCGUUGUACAGUCAUUUAGCUAGCUAUUUUAAUAUAUGAUUAAAUAAACGACGAAGAUAGUGGCGUAAUAUUGUUGCUGUUGGUAAUCUUAGUUUGCAAUGCUAUGCUAACUUUAGCUAGCUACGUAGCUAACGUUACUUGACUAUUAUUUCCAAAGCUGCAAAAUAAGAAGUUAUCAAUCUAACAUUAAUCCUCUACAAUAUAUAUUUGUCUCACAAUAUAUAACGCAGCUGAUGACGAAGAUGCUGCUUUUUGGCAACACCUUCUGUCCAAAGAAUACCCCAGCUGAUGUCGAAGAUGCUGCUUUUUGGCAACACCUUCUGUUCUGCAAGUCUGUUUCUCUCUCACGCCCAAAAACAUUCGGCACAAUGUGCCUCUGUUGUCUUUUAUGUGAAGGAAGUUUCUACAUCCCCCCUCUUAAUUUGUUGAGUCUAGUUGGAUUGGUCUACGAGGGAAAUAGAGUUGGGUCUUGAGUAUGGAGCCCCUGUUAUGAACAUUGGGGGCCAUAGCUUGACAUUUGAAGACGGACAAUGGAUUGCUGUCUGAAGGGAAUGUAUCUGGGAAGGAGGCGCAGACUGAAAAAUAGCAACCUAUAGCUUGAAAAGGAGAACAACCUACUCAGGCUGAAGAUUAACCUCCUGUUGGACAUGUUGUCAGAAACCACUGCAGAGUAUCACCUGAUGGAGAAGGAGCUGGAAAAGAUGAAGAUUCACAGUCGAAGGAAGAAGUGAUGAAUAGAAAAUUACAGACAGGUUCCCAGUGAAACCUGAAAAUGAAGAAGGGAAUAGAUAAAGGAUCGUGAGUGUUAGUGACCAA